AAAGGUUUCGACGGGGAUGUGGAAGCAGGAGUAGCGAGUCGUUGUCGCCAAACAACGUUAAAAGUGGCAACUUAAAUUAAACGCAAACGAAGAUUACGCAUUUGCUGCUUAAUUAAAGCAGCACGUCCUACCCGAGAAUCCCACGCCUUGGGAUAGGGCGCCAACUCAGUGGGGAACCGAGCCUUACAAAGCUUUGAGUAGGGAACGGAAUCUAUGAAGCUACUGAAGCUAGAAUCCUGUCAGUAGGAGUCUAGUGGAGGGAAUCUCAAAUUACUGGCUGCACUCGGAGAAACUCUUGUGGAAAUAUUUUCGGACGUGGGUUCGAUUCA
Molecule: transfer-messenger RNA, 329 nt
Filed under: Schnuerera ultunensis
Lineage: Bacteria; Bacillati; Bacillota; Tissierellia; Tissierellales; Tepidimicrobiaceae
Also listed under: 3 other names
Rfam family: transfer-messenger RNA
About the family: Bacterial tmRNA, also known as 10Sa RNA or SsrA, is named for its dual tRNA and mRNA-like properties. Its role is to liberate the mRNA from a stalled ribosome.
Source: RNAcentral